RNAcentral lists this ribosomal RNA (643 nucleotides) under uncultured bacterium. RNAcentral describes it as "bacterial SSU rRNA". The stretch from base 1 to 536 matches the Rfam family "Bacterial small subunit ribosomal RNA", at positions 338 to 873 of the family's 1533-position model. The record is from RNAcentral.
CCUACGGGAGGCAGCAGUAAGGAAUAUUGGACAAUGCUCGCAAGAGUGAUCCAGCCAUGCCGCGUGCAGGAAGAAUGCCCUAUGGGUAGUAAACUGCUUUUGAACUAGAGAAAACCCUACUACGAGUAGUAGGCUGAUAGUAUAGUUAGAAUAAGCAUCGGCUAACUUCGUGCCAGCAGCCGCGGUAAGACGAAGGAUGCAAGCGUUAUCCGGAUUCAUUGGGUUUAAAGGGAGCGUAGGUGGACAUAUAAGUCAGUGGUGAAAUCUCCGAGCUUAACUCGGAAAUUGCCAUUGAUACUGUUUGUCUUGAUUACAGUUGCUGUGGGCGGAAUAUGACAUGUAGUGGUGAAAUACAUAGAGAUGUCAUAGAACACCGAUUGCGAAGGCAGCUCACAAAGCUGUAACUGACACUGAGGCUCGAAAGUGCGGGGAUCAAACAGGAUUAGAUACCCUGGUAGUCCGCACUGUAAACGAUGAUUACUCGCUGCUAGAAGGCAACUUUUAGUGGCUUAGCGAAAGACGAGUAAGUAAGUACCGACCGUAGGGUAGGUACGGCCGGCCGACGGUACGUAAACGUUAAACGUUAGUUAAGUUAGACGGACGGUUAGGAGGACGNGCGACGGACGACGACGAGGGAGGAGGG